UUCCGGUUGAUCCUGCCGGACCCCACUGCUAUCGGGGUGGGACUAAAACAUGCAAGUCGAGCGCCUCCAAGCUAUGGUGAAGGCGCGGCAAACGGCUCAGUAACACGUGGCCAACCUACCCUUGGGACGGAGACAACCCCGGGAAACUGGGGCUAAUCCCCGAUAGGUGAGGAAUCCUGGAAUGGACCCUCGCCCAAAAGACGUUGAGUCCAUGCUAUUCAGCGUCGCCCAAGGAUGGAGCCGCGACCGAUCAGGUAGUUGGUGAGGCAACGGCUCACCAAGCCUAUAACCGGUACGGGCCGUGAGAGCGGGAGCCCGGAGAUGGGCACUGAGACAAGGGCCCAGGCCCUACGGGGCGCAGCAGUUGCGAAAACUCCGCAAUGCGCGAAAGCGUGACGGGGCUACCCCGAGUGCCGCCCGUUGAGGGCGGCUUUUCCACGGUGUAAGGAGCCGUGGGAAUAAGGAGAGGGCAAGACUGGUGUCAGCCGCCGCGGUAAUACCAGCUCUCCGAGUGGUGGGGACGAUUAUUGGGCUUAAAACGUUCGUAGCCGGCUUAACAAGUCUUCCGUUAAAUCCAACGAUCUAAUCGUUGGGCUGCGGGAGAUACUGUUGGGCUAGGAGGCGGGAGAAGCCGACGGUAUUCUCGGGGUAGGGGUGAAAUCCUGUAAUCCCGGGAGGACCACCAGUGGCGAAGGCGGUCGGCUAGAACGCGCUCGACGGUGAGGGACGAAAGCUGGGGGAGCGAACCGGAUUAGAAACCCGGGUAGUCCCAGCUGUAAACGAUGCGGGCUAGGUGUUGGGGUGGCCACGAGCCACUUCAGUGCCGCAUGGAAGCAAUUAAGCCCGCCGCCUGGGGAGUACGGCCGCAAGGCUGAAACUUAAAGGAAUUGGCGGGGGAGCACCACAGGCGUGAAGCUUGCGGUUUAUUGGAAUCACGCCGGA
This 942-nucleotide ribosomal RNA is filed under the name uncultured archaeon. RNAcentral's name for it is "bacterial SSU rRNA". It matches the Rfam family "Archaeal small subunit ribosomal RNA", at positions 1 to 922 of the family's 1478-position model. The record is from RNAcentral.